Molecule: ribosomal RNA, 460 nt
Filed under: uncultured bacterium
Lineage: Bacteria
Description: bacterial SSU rRNA
Rfam family: Bacterial small subunit ribosomal RNA
Source: RNAcentral
CCUACGGGCGGCUGCAGUAAGGAAUAUUGGUCAAUGGACGCAAGUCUGAACCAGCCAUGCCGCGUGGAGGAUGAAGGUCCUCUGGAUUGUAAACUUCUUUUAUCUGGGACGAAAAAAGGGAAUUCUUUCUCGUCUGACGGUACCAGAUGAAUAAGCACCGGCUAACUCCGUGCCAGCAGCCGCGGUAAUACGGAGGGUGCAAGCGUUAUCCGGAUUCACUGGGUUUAAAGGGUGCGUAGGCGGGUAUGUAAGUCCGUGGUGAAAUCUCCGAGCUUAACUCGGAAACUGCCAUGGGUACUGCGUAUCUUGAAUGUUGUGGAGGUGAGCGGAAUAUGUCAUGUAGCGGUGAAAUGCUUAGAUAUGACAUAGAACACCAAUUGCGAAGGCAGCUCACUACACAAAUAUUGACGCUGAGGCACGAAAGCGUGGGGAUCAAACAGGAUUAGAUACCCGAGUAGUC